CCUACGGGGCGCAGCAGUGGGGAAUAUUGCGCAAUGGGGGCAACCCCGACGCAGCAACGCCGCGUGAUUGAAGAAGGCCUUCGGGUUGUAAAGAUCUUUAAUUGGGGACGAAAACAAUGACGGUACCCAAAGAAUAAGCUCCGGCUAACUACGUGCCAGCAGCCGCGGUAAUACGUAGGGAGCAAGCGUUAUCCGGAUUUACUGGGUGUAAAGGGCGAGUAGGCGGGCUGGCAAGUUGGGAGUGAAAUCCCGGGGCUUAACCCCGGAACUGCUUUCAAAACUGCUGGUCUUGAGUGAUGGAGAGG
This 305-nucleotide ribosomal RNA is filed under the name uncultured bacterium. Its description in RNAcentral is "bacterial SSU rRNA". It matches the Rfam family "Bacterial small subunit ribosomal RNA", at positions 338 to 657 of the family's 1533-position model. The record is from RNAcentral.